RNAcentral lists this unclassified non-coding RNA (502 nucleotides) under Hevea brasiliensis (rubber tree). Lineage: Eukaryota; Viridiplantae; Streptophyta; Magnoliopsida; Malpighiales; Euphorbiaceae. The record is from RNAcentral.
AAUGGCAUAACCAAAUAAUUGUUUAGCUAAUGACGGAUUUCUAGCCACGGAAUGGAUCAAAGAACUGAAGACAUUUCCAAUACCGACAGCAGCUCCCGCCAAAGCAAUUGUAGCAGCUCCUGCACCGAUUAAUUUUGCACCUUCUAACAUUUUCUAAAAUAAUAAAUUCAUUCUCUCGUCACGCUUUGAACAUAACAAUAAAAUUUAAGAUGAACUAUAUACUCUCCUCGUCGAUUCUUCCCUUCGUUCCAUCCUUAUUUAUUCAUUCAAGUAGGACCAUGCCCUUGCGCCCGUUCCCAAUCGUGGACGGCGACCGUUAACGCAUCCUUGGCCUUUAGAUUUUGAUCAUUAAGGAAGGCGUCCCGCAGUUGAUAAAUGUCGUUGAGAACGUUCGCGAUUUCUUUUUGUUUUUGUGGAGAAGCAGUUUCGAGAUGCAAAUCCUCGAAGACCUUUUCCAGCACGUCUGCUCUUGGCCUUCGAUGCUGGCAAGACCGGAGAACCC